Engraulis encrasicolus (European anchovy) is the source of this 1065-nucleotide long non-coding RNA. RefSeq lists it as uncharacterized. The record is from RefSeq and is a predicted model, not a curated record. The transcript has 4 exons. Lineage: Eukaryota; Metazoa; Chordata; Actinopteri; Clupeiformes; Engraulidae.
UUAUGGAUAGGCGAAAUGUAAUUGUAGAUAUCCACUAUCCAAUUAUAGAUAUCUGGAAAUGAUUUUUGAUUAGAGAUAUCUCAAAUUGGAGAUAUCUGUAAUGUUCAUUCUGCCUAGUCGAAAUGUAAUUAAAGAUAUCUAGAAUAACAGUUUUGACUAGGCGAAAUGACGUUACAGAUAUCUGUAUGCAAAUGACCCAUGCACGCACCACCAACCCCCCUCCCCUUCCCCCACCCCUCACAUUUGGCGGGAGCACACAAACACACACACACACACACACACACACACCGCCAUUUUAGUGAUUAGUUGCACCUGUGAAAUGGACAACGAGCGUCAAGAAACCGUUUUCAAUCGUCUUUUCAACAUAGCUACUCGUGCAAGAGCAGAGUUGGCAAGCUCCAGUGCAGAUCAUGCCUAAAGUUACUUCAACGCGACGACCGACUGUUUCAUCGAGUACAGGUUAGGCGACGAGGACAUGAUGAGGACAAGCACUGUCAAGUCCUCUUCAGCUCCAAUGAUUAUAUCCAGUGCCCAAGGCUCCACGUCUCUAUGCACCAUUCAUCUCAACACUAACCAAAUGGUGGCUUUGUAACAGUGAUUGUGGGAGGAUGCUGUGCAGGUGUCAACAUGAAUGUGCCGGAGGACUAGAGUAUGCUGGCGUCGACACCCCACCUCCUCCCCUUCAGACUCCAUCGAGGGUUGGUCCCUGUCCUGUGAGGAGAGGAUGCAAUGGGUCUCUGCUUCAGCCGUGGCACCUUCUCUACAACCCUCGCCACUGUCACCAGUUUGUCCCCAUCCUGUGAAGGGGGGUAGGCUUUAGCCCCCUGCCUCAUCAAUCGGCAGGAUAAGCGCCCUCUUCUUUGAAACAGGACAUGUUUUAUUGAUGCUCUACAUGAGUAUUAUAUACAUGUAUAUAUACAGUGCCAUGUGUAUGUUUUUACCCCCCCUACUGAUUUUGUUUACUUUUUUGCACAUUUGGCACACUUAACAUUUUCAGAUAGCCACACUAAUGUAAACAUUACCCAUGACCCAAGUAAGCAUAAAAUGCAGUUUCUCAGUGAUUAA